This 460-nucleotide ribosomal RNA is filed under the name uncultured bacterium. RNAcentral's name for it is "partial 16S ribosomal RNA". It matches the Rfam family "Bacterial small subunit ribosomal RNA", at positions 338 to 795 of the family's 1533-position model. The record is from RNAcentral.
CCUACGGGAGGCUGCAGUGAGGAAUAUUGGUCAAUGGGCGCUAGCCUGAACCAGCCAAGUAGCGUGAAGGAUGACUGCCCUAUGGGUUGUAAACUUCUUUUAUAUGGGAAUAAAGUGCAGUAUGUAUACUGCUUUGCAUGUACCUUAUGAAUAAGGAUCGGCUAACUCCGUGCCAGCAGCCGCGGUAAUACGGAGGAUUCGAGCGUUAUCCGGAUUUAUUGGGUUUAAAGGGAGCGUAGGCGGGUUGUUAAGUCAGUUGUGAAAGUUUGCGGCUCAACCGUGAAAUUGCAGUUGAUACUGGCAGCCUUGAGUACAGUAGAGGUAGGCGGAAUUCGUGGUGUAGCGGUGAAAUGCUUAGAUAUCACGAAGAACUCCGAUUGCGAAGGCAGCCUGCUGGACUGUAACUGACGCUGAUGCUCGAAAGUGUGGGUAUCAAACAGGAUUAGAUACCCCAGUAGUC